RNAcentral lists this ribosomal RNA (225 nucleotides) under uncultured bacterium. Its description in RNAcentral is "partial 16S ribosomal RNA". It matches the Rfam family "Bacterial small subunit ribosomal RNA", at positions 116 to 334 of the family's 1533-position model. The record is from RNAcentral.
CGUAAAGCAACCUGCCCCAAAGACCGGGACAACAGUGGGAAACCGCUGCUAAUACCGGAUGUGUCCACCUUUUCGCAUGGAUGAGGUGAGUAAAGCGAAGCAAUUCGGCUUUGGGAGGGGCUUGCGGCCUAUCAGCUAGAUGGCGGGGUAGUGGCUCACCAUGGCGACGACGGGUAGCUGGUCUGAGAGGAUGGUCAGCCGGACUGGGACUGAGAUACGGCCCAG